ACGGAGAAGAAAACCUGAGGGAGGGGAAGCGGGGAGACUGGAGAGUGGUAUUCGGGCCGAGACGAAGAAGCGCAUGCUUCAUUAAGUGAGGAAGUAAUCCUGGCUAAUUAAGGCUCUCCAUGACAGCACUGUCAGGGAUGACUGAUCCUUCAAAUGGCACCUCCCUCCCCUGACUGACAGCCUGCCUGCUCUCACCGCUUUGAAGAAGGCAGCUCGCUCCCAACCCCCAGGAGCUCACGUCAACGCGCACUUGGAGAUGACCGGCUAUCUUGGGGCAGCGGCAAUCUGAGUGUCACAACAGGUGUCCAAUGCUUCAACAACACUCACCUGGGCAGAAGAGGAGGAUAAGGCCGGAUGCAAGAGGGAGUAACGAAGAGUGGGGGUAGGUGUGUUUGAUUGAGACUGCGGCAAACAAUGAGCUUGUGCAGGUUGAGCAGUUCCAGCAUCCAGCGAUGCUCCCCGGACACAUCCCAGCGCUCUGUUCUACAGCUGAGAGCUCCAAUGGCUUUGAACCCAAACAGGGUGUGGCAAUCCCAUUACCUGCUUGUCUUCUGCUGUCUGCUUACUGGAGCACGGUGGAGGAGCAGGUCUUUGAAUGGACAGGUGGAGCUGUAGGCAAGUUGACAUUCAGAGGCACAACAUAAAUUGCUGUCUUAUCAUUGAAAUUACAACAGCGUGGUUCAAUUUCACAGCAGAGGGAGGAGGGUGCAGACAAUGGAGGUCAAACAAUGGACACAGAAUGAAUCAUUUAUGUACUUGUGUGCUCAAACUUUUCUGCAGAGCUACGUAAUUUAUUGUUGAGAAAAAAAUUGUGAUGGAUAAACACAUCCAUUCGAAUCCUGUUAAAAAUUAUUGAAAGGUGCUGCAAUGUCCAAUAGAAUUCUUUUGUUUUUAGUUAAUUUAGUUUACACACACAUGUACUGAGCAUAAUGUCUAGUAGGACCAACAAUUCUCCUUAAGAGGGAGUUUAAUACUGUUAAGUAAUCUUUCAUGUAAUGGAUUUUGUUAUAUGUUGUUGUUGGCAAUAAUAACAACAAGAUCCCGUUUUAAUAAAGAAAAAAAGAUGUCCGCAUUACACUCUAAUAUUUUCCUGUUUCUUACCCAAUAAAAAUGUACAAUAUUUUUCCCCUGUAAGAUGAUAGUCUGCAGAGCUCGGUUGUUUUGUAGAUGGUGUCCUACUGUUGUAGCAACCCUGGUGAGUCUAUUUGAAAAAAUAAAAAUAAAA
This is a long non-coding RNA of Pungitius pungitius (ninespine stickleback), 1225 nucleotides long. RefSeq lists it as uncharacterized. The transcript has 4 exons. NCBI's taxonomy places the organism in Eukaryota, Metazoa, Chordata, Actinopteri, Perciformes, Gasterosteidae. The record is from RefSeq and is a predicted model, not a curated record.